RNAcentral lists this long non-coding RNA (1510 nucleotides) under Helianthus annuus (common sunflower). Its description in RNAcentral is "hypothetical non coding rna". The record is from RNAcentral. Lineage: Eukaryota; Viridiplantae; Streptophyta; Magnoliopsida; Asterales; Asteraceae.
CAGCUUUCCUUUCUUUCUGUUCCCUAUGCUCUCUCUCAAAAUUCCAUACUUUUAAUUCUUAUUUUUAUUUUCCUUGUAAUAAUAAUAAAGCCCUGUCUCGUUUUAAGUGUUUUAACUCCCGAUCACCGCUACCCUUUCCGAUUAAUCUGAGCCCUAUAACGCAUGUCAAGGCUCUGCCUGACUAAGUCCGUUUGGGUUCUAUCUCGGGACUUCGGGACAAGGUUGAUUUAGGGGUAUUAUACUUACCACGAGUGCAAUAUAUAUAUUUUUUAGCCCAAAAGUUAUACCCAAAAUUUAUACCAGGAGGUUUUCUAGUUGAACCCUAAAGUUACACAGUGGGUCCAUUCCUUUUUCCCACCAUUUUAUUCUCCUUUUGUAAGUUACCCAAAACUAUUAUUUAUUAUUUAUUAUUUCUAUUUUGUAAACAAACUUUCAUCAAAAGUCAUGCCUAUUAUUUUAUUUACCCGAUAGGGAACCAUAGUUGAGACACCCAAGUAAUCCUGCACAACUCCUAAAAUUUUCGUAGCAAUCAGAAUCAGGAUCAGGGCCCCUAAAACUCAGGGGGGGAUAAACCCUAGUUGAUAAUUAUCAACUAAAUUCGUUGUACAGAUUCUAAAUUGAUUUUAAAAUGAGUCAGCAAAGCUAGUCCCGAAACCAGCUAGGCUAGGUAAAUAGACUACACCCUUUACGGACCGUAAGGGUAAGUCCUUACGGACCGUAAGCCUACCGGUUUCCUUUACGGACCGUAAGGGUUAAGUCAUACGGUCCGUAAGGGAGUCCCAAAAUUCACUAUAAAUAGCAGACAUUGGCAGUAGCUUUCUAAAGUUGAAACGACAUAAAUUGGUGGCCUGUACGUCGAAUUAGAGCUAUAAUACUACAAUUAAACACACACUGCAUUCGAAUCGCUGCCGCAGAACAGGGUAAUUACUCGAUCGCUAUUACGAUUCAUUUUCCGAGAUCAAUAUAUCCAAAGAAUGUUUAAGUGCCGCCCAUAUUAGGGUGAUACUUUGUCGUUCGUCGUUAAUUCGAUGAAUGUUUAAGUAUCGCACUUUGUCGUUCGUUGUGAGAAUUUGAUCUCGUGAGUUAUCGUAAAAGCUGUAUUGAUCAUUAACCCGGUUUUUGUGAAAUUCAUUAAGGUUCGAAUCUCAUGACUACCGUUAAGGUUGAUUUGGGUUUUACACCAAUACGUAUUCCAUUCUAUUAAACCACCAAAAAUACUCCCAACUACACCCUUACAAUCAAACAAACUAUUAAAUCAUCAGAAGAUCCAGAAUAAUAAAGUGCAUGCUUAAUUAUCGGAAGAAGUAGAAUCAAGAAGUUUGUUAACUCAAUCUUGCAUGCUGAUUUGUAAUUACAGUAGAUUGGAGUAAGGAUUGGAUCCGGCACUAAAGGACUUCAAGAAGUGGCUUAUUUUAUUAAUUAAAUCAACUUAAGAAAUAUUGUUUUUGGGUUAUCCCGUAUUAAAAGCUACCUUUGUAAAACAUGGAAUUUAUUCCAUCUAUUUAAAUAA